Molecule: ribosomal RNA, 505 nt
Filed under: uncultured bacterium
Lineage: Bacteria
Description: partial 16S ribosomal RNA
Rfam family: Bacterial small subunit ribosomal RNA
Source: RNAcentral
GACGAACGCUGGCGGCGUGCCUAAUACAUGCAAGUAGAACGCACAGUUUAUACCGUAGCUUGCUACACCAUAGACUGUGAGUUGCGAACGGGUGAGUAACGCGUAGGUAACCUGCCUGGUAGCGGGGGAUAACUAUUGGAAACGAUAGCUAAUACCGCAUAAUAUUAAUUAUUGCAUGAUAAUUAAUUGAAAGGUGCAAUUGCACCACUACCAGAUGGACCUGCGUUGUAUUAGCUAGUAGGUGAGGUAACGGCUCACCUAGGCGACGAUACAUAGCCGACCUGGGAGGGUGAUCGGCCCACCUGGGACUGGGACACGGCCCAGACUCCUACGGGAGGCAGCAGUAGGGAAUCUUCGGCAAUGGACGAAAGUCUGACCGGGCAACGCCGCGUGAGUGAAGAAGGUUUUCGGAUCGUAAAGCUCUGUUGUAAGAGAAGAACGGGUGUGAGAGUGGAAAGUUCACACUGUGACGGUAUCUUACCAGAAAGGGACGGCUAACUACGUG